This 427-nucleotide ribosomal RNA is filed under the name uncultured bacterium. Its description in RNAcentral is "partial 16S ribosomal RNA". It matches the Rfam family "Bacterial small subunit ribosomal RNA", at positions 355 to 774 of the family's 1533-position model. The record is from RNAcentral.
UGGGGAAUAUUGGACAAUGGGCGAAAGCCUGAUCCAGCCAUGCCACGUGUGUGAAGAAGGUCUUCGGAUUGUAAAGCACUUUAAGUUGGGAGGAAGGGCAUUAACCUAAUACGUUAGUGUUUUGACGUUACCGACAGAAUAAGCACCGGCUAACUCUGUGCCAGCAGCCGCGGUAAUACAGAGGGUGCAAGCGUUAAUCGGAAUUACUGGGCGUAAAGCGCGCGUAGGUGGUUUGUUAAGUUGGAUGUGAAAGCCCCGGGCUCAACCUGGGAACUGCAUCCAAAACUGGCAAGCUAGAGUACGGUAGAGGGUGGUGGAAUUUCCUGUGUAGCGGUGAAAUGCGUAGAUAUAGGAAGGAACACCAGUGGCGAAGGCGACCACCUGGACUGAUACUGACACUGAGGUGCGAAAGCGUGGGGAGCAAACA